GCUGUUGAGACUCCAGGGGUGUUCGGGGCUGGGAGCCUGCUGAGUGUUCCCUGUUCCCACCUCCAAUCUGCUCCAUCCUCCAGCUGCAUUUCAUUCCGGAUCUACCAGCAGGAUCCAACUUUACUACUGUCAUGGAGGGAAUUACAGUAAUUCUACCAACUUUUGAGGCAACCUUCUUCUGACACUGUGUGAAACAGACUGAAAAGACUCUAAAGAUGGAGAGAGCUCAAUGCUUGAGAAAAGGAAUUCUGUCCUUUGAAAGGUCUCUAGAACAAAGGAGUCUUAUUCUGUCACCUAGGCUGGAGUACAGUGGUGCAAUCACAGCUCACUGCAGCCUCGAUCUCCUGGACUCAACUAAUCCUCCUGCCUCAGCCUUCUGGGUAGUUGAGACUACAGAUACAGAAGAUGAGAGAGAGAAAAAGAGAGAAAUUACAGAGUGACGGAGAAGGCAGACAUCAUGCAACAUGCUCAAGGGCUAUUCAUUUUAAGCUGAAACAUACAUGUGUAGAAAGCAUCCUUGUACUUAUAAUCCCAAUGACUAUGAAGAAAAAUAAUUUAGCCAAAUAGUUCCUAGAACAGGAAAAAUAAGGAAUUAUAUUUUGAGAUAAGAAGUUAAGCUCUAGUAUAACAAUGAUAUGGGUCAAAGAAAAAUGAAAACAAAUUUUAAAAACGUUGCAACAUGAAUAAAAGUUUCACCAAAUCGGGAGUCUAUUAUAA
Molecule: long non-coding RNA, 717 nt
Filed under: Homo sapiens (human)
Lineage: Eukaryota; Metazoa; Chordata; Mammalia; Primates; Hominidae
Description: non-protein coding LINC01549:1
Source: RNAcentral